Molecule: ribosomal RNA, 492 nt
Filed under: uncultured bacterium
Lineage: Bacteria
Description: partial 16S ribosomal RNA
Rfam family: Bacterial small subunit ribosomal RNA
Source: RNAcentral
AGUGAACGCUGGCGGUAGGCCUAACACAUGCAAGUCGAACGGCCGCACAGUAAGCGCUUGCUCUUACGGGUGGCGAGUGGCGGACGGGUGAGGCAUACAUCGGAAUCUACUUUUUCGUGGGGGAUAACGGAGGGAAACUUACGCUAAUACCGCAUACGACCUACGGGUGAAAUCAGGGGAUCUUCGGACCUUGCGCGUUUGAAUGAGCCGAUGUCGGAUUAGCUAGUUGGCGGGGUAAAGGCCCACCAAGGCGACGAUCCGUAGCUGGUCUGAGAGGAUGAUCAGCCACACUGGAACUGAGACACGGUCCAGACUCCUACGGGAGGCAGCAGUGGGGAAUAUUGGACAAUGGGCGCAAGCCUGAUGCAGCCAUACCGCGUGAGUGAAGAAGGCCUUCGGGUUGUAAAGCCCUUUUGUUGGGAAAGAAAAGCAGCAGGUUAAUACCCCGCUGUUCUGACGGUACCCAAAGAAUAAGCACCGGCUAACUUCGUG